GGACGAACGCUGGCGGCGUGCUUAACACAUGCAAGUCGAACGAUGAACCACCUUCGGGUGGGGAUUAGUGGCGAACGGGUGAGUAACACGUGGGCAAUCUGCCCUGCACUCUGGGACAAGCCCUGGAAACGGGGUCUAAUACCGGAUACUGACCUUCACGGGCAUCCGUGAGGGUCGAAAGCUCCGGCGGUGCAGGAUGAGCCCGCGGCCUAUCAGCUUGUUGGUGAGGUAAUGGCUCACCAAGGCGACGACGGGUAGCCGGCCUGAGAGGGCGACCGGCCACACUGGGACUGAGACACGGCCCAGACUCCUACGGGAGGCAGCAGUGGGGAAUAUUGCACAAUGGGCGAAAGCCUGAUGCAGCGACGCCGCGUGAGGGAUGACGGCCUUCGGGUUGUAAACCUCUUUCAGCAGGGAAGAAGCGAAAGUGACGGUACCUGCAGAAGAAGCGCCGGCUAACUACGUGCCAGCAGCCGCGGUAAUACGUAGGGCGCGAGCGUUGUCCGGAAUUAUUGGGCGUAAAGAGCUCGUAGGCGGCUUGUCGCGUCGGUUGUGAAAGCCCGGGGCUUAACCCCGGGUCUGCAGUCGAUACGGGCAGGCUAGAGUUCGGUAGGGGAGAUUCGGAAUUCCUGGUGUAGCGGUGAAAUGCGCAGGAUAUCAGGGAGGAAACCACCGGUGGCGGAAAGGGCGGGAAUCUUCUGGGCCAGGCGGAUCUCUGGGCCGAUACUGACGCUGAGGAGCGAAAGCGUGGGGAGCGAACAGGAUUAGAUACCCUGGUAGUCCACGCCGUAAACGGUGGGCACUAGGUGUGGGCGACAUUCCACGUCGUCCGUGCCGCAGCUAACGCAUUAAGUGCCCCGCC
This 862-nucleotide ribosomal RNA is filed under the name Streptomyces sp. RNAcentral's name for it is "bacterial SSU rRNA". It matches the Rfam family "Bacterial small subunit ribosomal RNA", at positions 27 to 873 of the family's 1533-position model. The record is from RNAcentral. Lineage: Bacteria; Bacillati; Actinomycetota; Actinomycetes; Kitasatosporales; Streptomycetaceae.